Triticum aestivum (bread wheat) is the source of this 765-nucleotide long non-coding RNA. RefSeq lists it as uncharacterized. Lineage: Eukaryota; Viridiplantae; Streptophyta; Magnoliopsida; Poales; Poaceae. The transcript has 2 exons. The record is from RefSeq and is a predicted model, not a curated record.
CUUGUUUCUCUCUGCAGAUCCUAAGUAAUACACCCGGCUGUCCGCUGCCCUGGACCGUGAUAUCAUCUAUCGUCGACUAUAUCGAUCUAAUCUAGGAAAUGGUAUGAAAAGAUUCUUACAUAUAUAUUUAUAUGGAUCGAACUAUAAAUGAGUUCUUUUAGGUGGCGCCGGAAGAUAUGAAUCGCAGAGGCAAAAAAGGGAUAUUAUGUCAAUGUAAGAAGUGUGAAAACGGAGUUUUGAUUGACCCUUCCACUGGUCGUUGGAAGAUGCACCUGUUGAAACAUAGUUUCAUGCCUAGUUACGCACGAUGGACAAGUCAUAGUGAGGACGAGGAGGAUACCGGAGUCGAAGAUGGGGCGACAGUACAUGAUGAUAAGCCAGAAGGAGGCAUGAAGAAAGAUGCCGGACAUUAAAAUCAGCCGAACGGACACGACGUCCGUGCAGAGGUUCAGGAAGUGAGAAGUCUUUUGUACAAAAGACAGAAAGAACAAAGCGAUAAAGAUUUGUCCAAGAAGGAAGAUCUAGAUGAGCAUGAUGAUGAUAAACAAUCUAGCAUCUAUCAUGAAGAAAGUGAAGUCCAGCUCAAAACAGUGUACGAAAAGAAGCCGAAACAUGUUGUUGGGUAGUGUAGAAAGUUCUGUUGAGAGAAUUCAGAAACGACGAUGCACUUAACUAAUUAUAUAUGUAUCUUUUAUUAUUAAGCAUCACUGUAGUGUGUAUCGACUGUAUGUGUAUUUCAAUCUUAAUAAAAUAAAUAUAGCUACA